This 32-nucleotide non-coding RNA is filed under the name Rattus norvegicus (Norway rat). The record is from RNAcentral. Lineage: Eukaryota; Metazoa; Chordata; Mammalia; Rodentia; Muridae.
UCCAUUGCCUCAGAGCAUUCACUAAUGCCAGC